This 334-nucleotide long non-coding RNA is filed under the name Phoenix dactylifera (date palm). Its description in RNAcentral is "long non-coding RNA (PDAC_LNC001217)". The record is from RNAcentral. Lineage: Eukaryota; Viridiplantae; Streptophyta; Magnoliopsida; Arecales; Arecaceae.
GGGGGUGUCGAGGCGGCUGGCGGAGGAUUGGUGGUGGCAGGAGGGAGGGCGGUGAUUGGGCAGUGCAUGAGGUGGAGAGGAGGGCAAGGGAGAUGGCUAGAGCUAGAGUUGGUGUGUGGAACGCCAUGGCUCUUCUUUGUUUCACUUACUCUCAGAUGAGGUGAGGAAGAGAGAAUAUAUAAGUGUUUGUUGUGUUAGAAUGGAAGACUGAUAGCCUUUGGUAAUAUAUAUAGUGAGAAGUGUAGAGAUCUAGAGGGAGAGAGAGGCAGCGAGGCAAAAGGUGGGGGAUGGCAGUGAUAGCUGUAAGGUUUUGUGGUGGCACCCCCAACUUGUC